CCCUUAGAUGUUCUGGGCUGCACACGUGCUGCACUGGCAGGUUCAGCGAGCUUCGUGCCCUGAUCUGAAAGGAAUGGGAAAUCUUUUCAAAACCUGCCGUGCUUGGGAUAGAUGUUUGCAAUUAUUCAUCUUCAACGAGGAUUGCCUUGUAAGCGCAUGCCAUCAGCUUGCAUUGAUUACGUCCCUGCCCUUUGUACACACCGCCCGUCGCUCCUACCGAUUGAAUGAUCCGAUGAAUACCAUGGAUUGAGAGUACGAAUAGGUUCGCUUAUUUCUGCUGCUCGAGAAGUGGAGUAAAUCUUAUCAUUUAGAGGAAGGGGAAGUCGUAACA
Molecule: ribosomal RNA, 331 nt
Filed under: uncultured eukaryote
Lineage: Eukaryota
Description: partial 18S ribosomal RNA
Rfam family: Eukaryotic small subunit ribosomal RNA
Source: RNAcentral